Molecule: long non-coding RNA, 312 nt
Filed under: Setaria viridis
Lineage: Eukaryota; Viridiplantae; Streptophyta; Magnoliopsida; Poales; Poaceae
Description: long non-coding RNA (SVIR_LNC007172)
Source: RNAcentral
GCUAGCGCAAAACAAAAUUUUUCUACCGCGUAAACCAGGAAAACUGUCGUAUAUGGAUCACAAGAUUACCACUCGACGCACUAGUGUGGAAGAUGUAGAAUCACGUCGGGGCAGUGAAGUCGAUCAGCGUAGUCGAACACGUAGUCGAUCAUGUCGACGUCGAGCAGCUCCUCAGUAGCUCGUCUACGUGUGGCAAGAUCGUCCUCGUGCCGCGGCUCGUCGUUGGCUCGUCGUGGCUCGUCGGCGGCUUGUCCAAGUGCUGCAGGUGCAACACCUCCAAGGUAUCCACACAUGUAGGGAGGAAGCGUCGCA